This 253-nucleotide ribosomal RNA is filed under the name uncultured bacterium. RNAcentral describes it as "partial 16S ribosomal RNA". It matches the Rfam family "Bacterial small subunit ribosomal RNA", at positions 524 to 776 of the family's 1533-position model. The record is from RNAcentral.
GACGAACCGUACAAACGUUAUUCGGAAUCACUGGGCUUAAAGGGUGCGUAGGUGGUCUAUUAAGUUGGGUGUGAAAUCCCUCGGCUCAACCGAGGAACUGCGCUCAAUACUGGUAGACUUGAGGGAGAUAGAGGUGAGCGGAACUGAUGGUGGAGCGGUGAAAUGCGUUGAUAUCAUCGGGAACACCUGUGGCGAAAGCGGCUCACUGGAUCUCUUCUGACACUGAGGCACGAAAGCUAGGGGAGCGAACGGG